AUUGAACGCUGGCGGCAGGCCUAACACAUGCAAGUCGAACGAGUGGCGGACGGGUGAGUAAUGUCUGGGAAACUGCCUGAUGGAGGGGGAUAACUACUGGAAACGGUAGCUAAUACCGCAUACCAUCGGAUGUGCCCUGAUGGGUUUAGCUAGUAGGUGGGGGAAAGGCUGACCUAGGCGACGAUCCCUAGCUGGUCUGAGAGGAUGACCUGCCCCACUUGAACUGAGACACGGUCCAUACUCCUACGUGAGGCAGCAGUGGGGAAUAUUGCACAAUGGGUGCAAGCCUGAUGCAGCAAUGCCGCGUGUAUGAAGAAGGCCUUCGGGUUGUAAAGUUCUUUCAGCGGGGAGGCGGUACCCGAAGAAGAAGCACCGGCUAACUCCGUGCCAGCAGCCGCGGUAAUUG
This 406-nucleotide ribosomal RNA is filed under the name uncultured bacterium. RNAcentral's name for it is "partial 16S ribosomal RNA". It matches the Rfam family "Bacterial small subunit ribosomal RNA", at positions 30 to 527 of the family's 1533-position model. The record is from RNAcentral.